AGUGAACGCUGGCGGUAGGCCUAACACAUGCAAGUCGAACGGCAGCACAGUAAGAGCUUGCUCUUACGGGUGGCGAGUGGCGGAUGGGUGAGGAAUACAUCGGAAUCUACUUUUUCGUGGGGGAUAACGUAGGGAAACUUACGCUAAUACCGCAUACGACCUACGGGUGAAAGCAGGGGAUCUUCGGACCUUGCGCGAUUGAAUGAGCCGAUGUCGGAUUAGCUAGUUGGCGGGGUAAGGGCCCACCAAGGCGACGAUCCGUAGCUGGUCUGAGAGGAUGAUCAGCCACACUGGAACUGAGACACGGUCCAGACUCCUACGGGAGGCAGCAGUGGGGAAUAUUGGACAAUGGGCGCAAGCCUGAUCCAGCCAUACCGCGUGGGUGAAGAAGGCCUUCGGGUUGUAAAGCCCUUUUGUUGGGAAAGAAAAUCAGCAGGUUAAUACCCCGCUGUUCUGACGGUACCCAAAGAAUAAGCACCGGCUAACUUCGUG
RNAcentral lists this ribosomal RNA (492 nucleotides) under uncultured bacterium. Its description in RNAcentral is "partial 16S ribosomal RNA". It matches the Rfam family "Bacterial small subunit ribosomal RNA", at positions 29 to 507 of the family's 1533-position model. The record is from RNAcentral.